RNAcentral lists this ribosomal RNA (549 nucleotides) under uncultured bacterium. RNAcentral describes it as "bacterial SSU rRNA". It matches the Rfam family "Bacterial small subunit ribosomal RNA", at positions 355 to 896 of the family's 1533-position model. The record is from RNAcentral.
UGGGGAAUAUUGAACAAUGGGCGCAAGCCUGAUCCAGCCAUGCCGCGUGUGUGAAGAAGGCCUUCGGGCUGUAAAGCACUUUCAGUAGGGAGGAAGCGUUGUGUGUUAAUAGUACACAGCGUCGACGUUACCUACAGAAGAAGCACCGGCUAACUCUGUGCCAGCAGCCGCGGUAAUACAGAGGGUGCAAGCGUUAAUCGGAAUUACUGGGCGUAAAGCGCACGUAGGCGGUUUUUUAAGUCAGAUGUGAAAGCCCCGGGCUCAACCUGGGAAUUGCAUUUGAAACUGGAAAACUAGAGUGUGUGAGAGGGGGGUAGAAUUCCAAGUGUAGCGGUGAAAUGCGUAGAGAUUUGGAGGAAUACCAGUGGCGAAGGCGGCCCCCUGGCACAACACUGACGCUCAGGUGCGAAAGCGUGGGGAGCAAACAGGAUUAGAUACCCUGGUAGUCCACGCCGUAAACGAUGUCUACUAGCUGUUCGUGACCUUGUGUCGUGAGUAGCGCAGCUAACGCAUUAAGUAGACCGCCUGGGGAGUACGGUCGCAAGAUUA